CUGGGGCAUAAGCAGAGACCCUUGGAGGCUCCAUGAGUCUUAGUUCAAAGCAGACCAUCAGAGAACUAGGAAGGAGGGCUUGGGAGGCCAGUUCCCAGAGGAAGGUGUGAGGGAGGGAAGCCGUAAGGAGAACGAGGGGGCACUGGUGCUGGGGAUGCCCUGAGCCCCGUGGAGGGAGGCAAGGAGGAGCUGCCAGUCAUCACCUGUCACAGGAGCCACGUGGGUGGCAGGAGGCAGUCCUCUCACGCCCAGGCCCUGUCUCACACCUGAGGGCAGAGCCCACGGCCAGGAUAAAAGGGCCCUGGGGCAGAGCACCUCCAUCCACUCCUCUCCUGAGGUGCUGACGACUCUGUGCUGUGUGUGCACCGCUCUUGAACCCGUCCACCGAGAUGUCCUGCCAGCAGAACCAGCAGCAGUGCCAGCCCCCUCCC
RNAcentral lists this long non-coding RNA (431 nucleotides) under Capra hircus (goat). RNAcentral's name for it is "lncRNA (ENSCHIG00010016269.1)". Lineage: Eukaryota; Metazoa; Chordata; Mammalia; Artiodactyla; Bovidae. The record is from RNAcentral.